Molecule: ribosomal RNA, 301 nt
Filed under: Priestia aryabhattai B8W22
Lineage: Bacteria; Bacillati; Bacillota; Bacilli; Caryophanales; Bacillaceae
Description: 16S rRNA. Bacterial SSU
Rfam family: Bacterial small subunit ribosomal RNA
Source: RNAcentral
UUUCUUCGGAGAGUUUGAUCCUGGCUCAGGAUGAACGCUGGCGGCGUGCCUAAUACAUGCAAGUCGAGCGAACUGAUUAGAAGCUUGCUUCUAUGACGUUAGCGGCGGACGGGUGAGUAACACGUGGGCAACCUGCCUGUAAGACUGGGAUAACUUCGGGAAACCGAAGCUAAUACCGGAUAGGAUCUUCUCCUUCAUGGGAGAUGAUUGAAAGAUGGUUUCGGCUAUCACUUACAGAUGGGCCCGCGGUGCAUUAGCUAGUUGGUGAGGUAACGGCUCACCAAGGCAACGAUGCAUAGCC